This 253-nucleotide ribosomal RNA is filed under the name uncultured bacterium. Its description in RNAcentral is "partial 16S ribosomal RNA". It matches the Rfam family "Bacterial small subunit ribosomal RNA", at positions 524 to 776 of the family's 1533-position model. The record is from RNAcentral.
UACGUAGGGUGCGAGCGUUAAUCGGAAUUACUGGGCGUAAAGCGUGCGCAGGCGGUUGUGCAAGACAGAUGUGAAAUCCCCGGGCUCAACCUGGGAACUGCAUUUGUGACUGCACGGCUAGAGUGCGGCAGAGGGAGAUGGAAUUCCGCGUGUAGCAGUGAAAUGCGUAGAUAUGCGGAGGAACACCGAUGGCGAAGGCAAUCCCCUGGGCCUGCACUGACGCUCAUGCACGAAAGCGUGGGGAGCAAACAGG